This 116-nucleotide ribosomal RNA is filed under the name Citrobacter freundii. RNAcentral also lists the same sequence under 12 other names. The record is from RNAcentral. Lineage: Bacteria; Pseudomonadati; Pseudomonadota; Gammaproteobacteria; Enterobacterales; Enterobacteriaceae.
CCUGGCGGCAGUAGCGCGGUGGUCCCACCUGACCCCAUGCCGAACUCAGAAGUGAAACGCCGUAGCGCCGAUGGUAGUGUGGGGUCUCCCCAUGCGAGAGUAGGGAACUGCUAGGC